AUGAAUCUGGUAUGCUGGAACCAUCGCGGGAUAGGCAAUGCCCCGACAGUUCAAGAGCUACGCGAACUCGCGAUAAAGUUUGCCCCUAGAGUACUUUGCUUAGUGGAAACCCAGAUUAAUGGGGUUAGAGCUAAAAACUUAAAAAGCACUCUAGGUUUUGAUAACUCUUUUCCUGUUGACUCCUCUGUUAGGAGCGGAGGUUUAGUGAUGUACUGGAAUAAUGAAAUAAAGAUGAGAAUUUGGGUUACUCGUAGUAUCACAUAG
Molecule: ribosomal RNA, 264 nt
Filed under: Triticum aestivum (bread wheat)
Lineage: Eukaryota; Viridiplantae; Streptophyta; Magnoliopsida; Poales; Poaceae
Description: partial small subunit ribosomal RNA
Source: RNAcentral